CCUACGGGGGGCAGCAGUGGGGAAUAUUGGGCAAUGGGCGCAAGCCUGACCCAGCAACGCCGCGUGAAGGAAGAAGGCUUUCGGGUUGUAAAGUUCUGUUCUCAGGGACGAAGAAAGUGACGGUACCUGAGGAAUAAGCCACGGCUAACUACGCGCUAGCAGACGCGGUAAUAAGUAGGUGGCAAGCGUGAUCAGGAUGUAUUGGGUGUAAAGGGCAUGUAGGCGGGAGUGAAAGUCAGAGGUGAAAACUCCGGGCUCAACCCUGGGCCUGCAUUUGAAACUGGGUUUCGUGAGUGCUGGAGAGGCAAGCGGAAUUCCGUGUGUAGCGGUGAAAUGCGUAGAUAUACGGAGGAACACCAGUGGCGAAGGCGGAUUACUGGACAGUAACUGACGCUGAGGCGCGAAAGCGUGGGGAGCAAACAGGAUUAGAUACCCGGGUAGUC
Molecule: ribosomal RNA, 443 nt
Filed under: uncultured bacterium
Lineage: Bacteria
Description: partial 16S ribosomal RNA
Rfam family: Bacterial small subunit ribosomal RNA
Source: RNAcentral